Molecule: unclassified non-coding RNA, 254 nt
Filed under: Hevea brasiliensis (rubber tree)
Lineage: Eukaryota; Viridiplantae; Streptophyta; Magnoliopsida; Malpighiales; Euphorbiaceae
Source: RNAcentral
CGUCCACCGUCGCGACCCUGAGCGGCGAAGUGUUCUACUACAUCUCGCAGCGCUCGGAGCGCAAAGUCGCCUUUAUGCAGCAGCAGGUCGUCGACCAGCGCGUAAUCGCGAUCUAUUUCGACAAGAACCGGACGGUCCAGCGUAUCGCGAAUUACGGACUUCAGGACGGCAAGAUUUUCGAUUUCAUCAGCCGCACGACGCCGACCAGCGGUCAGGAAAUGAGCUACCUCACGCCGAUCUUCAAGCUCCUCAGC